This 28-nucleotide non-coding RNA is filed under the name unclassified sequences. The record is from Rfam.
UAACCUCUGGCGAAGGACGUGUAUGUUA